RNAcentral lists this ribosomal RNA (418 nucleotides) under uncultured bacterium. RNAcentral describes it as "bacterial SSU rRNA". It matches the Rfam family "Bacterial small subunit ribosomal RNA", at positions 358 to 769 of the family's 1533-position model. The record is from RNAcentral.
GGAAUCUUCCACAAUGGGCGAAAGCCUGAUGGAGCAACGCCGCGUGAGUGAGGAAGGCUUUCGGGUCGUAAAGCUCUGUUGCCAGGGAAGAACGCCUGGGAGAGUAACUGCUCCUGGGGUGACGGUACCUGAGAAGAAAGCCCCGGCUAACUACGUGCCAGCAGCCGCGGUAAUACGUAGGGGGCAAGCGUUGUCCGGAAUUAUUGGGCGUAAAGCGCGCGCAGGCGGUCUUUUAAGUCUGGUGUCUAAGUGCGGGGCUCAACCCCGUGAUGCACUGGAAACUGGGAGACUUGAGUGCAGAAGAGGAGAGCGGAAUUCCACGUGUAGCGGUGAAAUGCGUAGAGAUGUGGAGGAACACCAGUGGCGAAGGCGGCUCUCUGGACUGUAACUGACGCUGAGGCGCGAAAGCGUGGGGAGC